Molecule: ribosomal RNA, 466 nt
Filed under: uncultured bacterium
Lineage: Bacteria
Description: partial 16S ribosomal RNA
Rfam family: Bacterial small subunit ribosomal RNA
Source: RNAcentral
GAUGAACGCUGGCGGCGUGCUUAACACAUGCAAGUCGAACGGAAAGGCUCCUGCUUGCAGGGGUACUCGAGUGGCGAACGGGUGAGUAACACGUGGGUGAUCUGCCCAGCACUUCGGGAUAAGCCUGGGAAACUGGGUCUAAUACCGGAUAGGACGAUGGUUUGGAUGCCAUUGUGGAAAGUUUUUUCGGUGUGGGAUGAGCUCGCGGCCUAUCAGCUUGUUGGUAGGGUAAUGGCCUACCAAGGCGUCGACGGGUAGCCGGCCUGAGAGGGUGUACGGCCACAUUGGGACUGAGAUACGGCCCAGACUCCUACGGGAGGCAGCAGUGGGGAAUAUUGCACAAUGGGCGCAAGCCUGAUGCAGCGACGCCGCGUGGGGGAUGACGGCCUUCGGGUUGUAAACUCCUUUCGCUAGGGACGAAGCGCAAGUGACGGUACCUGGAGAAGAAGCACCGGCUAACUACGUG